Molecule: small nuclear RNA, 22 nt
Filed under: Arabidopsis thaliana (thale cress)
Lineage: Eukaryota; Viridiplantae; Streptophyta; Magnoliopsida; Brassicales; Brassicaceae
Description: snRNA_05883
Source: RNAcentral
UUUUAGUAGUAUUUAAAAGAAU